CUCCGGGUUUGUCUGUAGUAAAUGGAUCCCACUAACCAAGGCUGCACUGGCAACCACUGGAUUCUUGUCAACAAUAGCUUGUUUCAAAUAUCGCUCAAUUUGGGUGAGUAGGGUUCCAUCUGUUAUCCGGCAAAGCACACGAAUAGCAUUUGCACGGUACAUAUCAGUCUUGCUAUUCAUGUCCUUCAUAAGGGAGCUUGUGACAAUGAUAACCUCAUCUGCUGAUGGGGAUAAUUCCUUUAUCAUCAAAUAGACCAUUCUCCUCAAACCUAUAUCUCUCGACUGGAAAAGCUUUGUCACAGCAAAGAAAACUUCUGUGGCUUCAAUCUUAG
RNAcentral lists this unclassified non-coding RNA (332 nucleotides) under Hevea brasiliensis (rubber tree). Lineage: Eukaryota; Viridiplantae; Streptophyta; Magnoliopsida; Malpighiales; Euphorbiaceae. The record is from RNAcentral.